GUGGGGAAUCUUGCGCAAUGGGCGAAAGCCUGACGCAGCCAUGCCGCGUGAAUGAUGAAGGUCUUAGGAUUGUAAAAUUCUUUCACCGGGGACGAUAAUGACGGUACCCGGAGAAGAAGCUCCGGCUAACUUCGUGCCAGCAGCCGCGGUAAUACGAAGGGGGCUAGCGUUGCUCGGAAUUACUGGGCGUAAAGGGCGCGUAGGCGGACAGCUUAGUCAGAGGUGAAAGCCCAGGGCUCAACCUUGGAAUUGCCUUUGAUACUGGCUGUCUUGAGUUUGGGAGAGGUGAGGGGAACUCCGAGUGUAGAGGUGAAAUUCGUAGAUAUUCGGAAGAACACCAGUGGCGAAGGCGACUCACUGGCCCAAUACUGACGCUGAGGCGCGAAAGCGUGGGGAGCAAACAGGAUUAGAUACCCGAGUAGUCC
This 425-nucleotide ribosomal RNA is filed under the name uncultured bacterium. Its description in RNAcentral is "partial 16S ribosomal RNA". It matches the Rfam family "Bacterial small subunit ribosomal RNA", at positions 354 to 796 of the family's 1533-position model. The record is from RNAcentral.